This 680-nucleotide long non-coding RNA is filed under the name Pan troglodytes (chimpanzee). RNAcentral's name for it is "bidirectional promoter lncRNA". Lineage: Eukaryota; Metazoa; Chordata; Mammalia; Primates; Hominidae. The record is from RNAcentral.
GCAGCGCCGGGGGCUGAGGAAAGGUGGGUGGCGAAGCGCCGCCGGGCGCUUGGUGGCCGCUGCCGCCGCCACUGCAGCUGUGCACGCCCGCCUCUCGGAGGAAACUUGAAGCCAGCAGUACAGGCAGGGCUGGAGGCCGAGCGGAGCCAUCCGACCUUGGGACUAGGGAAACGUGGACUUGGUGGGCUAUUCUGCGCUGAAGAGGCAGCAACGAGGGCUCGGUGGUAUUGGUGUUGGUCCUAGUGGAAUUGUCAAGAGGAUGCUUUUGGAGUGGCCCAGCAUCUUGGAAGUUCACCAUGCUUUGCAGGAGAUUCCUGACGCUGCAGUGAAAGAGGUCCAAUCAUUCCAGAUAGAACUUCAGUUUCAGACAAGUCAUCAAAUCCAGAAAGCAAGGAAAAAUACCCUGAAAGACGACUGGCAAAUCUCGGUGAAAGAGUAGACGCACCUCAUGGAUUGGAGUGAAUCUUAGAGCACCUGGUACCUUGCACACGACCUGAUGCCUGGAGGUACAGCAGCCAUCUUGUGACCAUAAGGAGGAAAUCAACGCAUUAAGAAGGGAAAAGCUAAGAACAUACAGAGAGCAAGGACCACUGACAACAUGAUCAAGCCACUCUACCAGGCCUUAACUUCCUAUUCCCUGACUUCUUAUUGAAAGAGACAAUAAAACUUCUCAUUUGUUG